AAACAGCUGAAAGAGAGACUGGGGACGCAUUCAGUGUUCCUGGCCUCAUCACUGACUCCUGGUGUCAAGGAGAAGCCAGAGAUGCCCAGGGAAAAGCAACUGUUGGAACACUCAAUUUCCCGUGGAACCUUCUCAGGAGGCUGGCCACUUCACCUGAACUAUCAAGGGAUCAAGAAAAACUUGGAGAGAAGCUGAAAGAGACAGCUGUGCUCCACCCCGUGGCCAGGGCUCCCUGAGGAGACUCCGAGGAUCAAAGGCCGACAGCACAGUGCAGAGGCCCAGCUGCACACUGAGCGCUCAGUGUGCAACUAGGCUCCUCCCUGUACGCAGGGCUCAGUGGAAUAGCUGCUUGCUGUUCUAGCCGCAUAGUAAAAUGAUCCACACGGUUAUUGGAACUGGCAGAGAAGCAAGUCCAGAUGGGUCAAAGUCCCACCUUUGAAACUCAAAGUGUUAAAAGCAUUUAGAUGGCACUCUGGUGAAAUGGGAAUUAUGUCAAGAUACAGAACAGCAAGGCACAACCAGUUUGACUACGUUAAAGCUAAUACCCUCCUCACUCAAGGCAACAGUUAAAAUUUAAACCAGCAGCCACACAGUAGAUGGAGCACAUAAAGAGCACACACAAGCAGACAGAACAAUGGAAAAGUAGACACAUGAUAGGAUCCCGCCGUUAAUAGAUGAUAAAACCCAAUGGCCAGGCAAUGGGAAGAGCGCCCUCUCUCUAUCAACCAGAGAAGUGCAGUUACUACAACUGCAAUCAUCAGGCUCAGGGAGAUGGAGGACCUCACAGUGACCUUGGUGAUAAUGGGUGGGUUAGCUCUCGGCCACUCUGAAAGGAAUGUUUGCUGUCCAACCUUGAGGAAAAGCAAUGUGGUGUCUUUCUCCUAACAAAGCUGGAGCUGGGCUUGUCCCUCUCCCUUCCAGACAUUCUACAAAGUGACAUCCAGGAAUGUGCCCAGAGAAGCAUGGGAACAUUGAGUCCCUCAGGCAGAAAGGUGUUGUCCACAGCUGUCACUCAGCUCUGCAUGGAAUGAGCAGUUGACCAUGGCAUAUCUCGCUCGAGCAAAUGAUAGUGACAAAGGUGCCAGCACCUGGCCCUGCACAGAGUCAGAUCACAUAAAAUGUAAUGUUGACUGUGAAAAAAAAUAAAAAAAUAUAUAUGCA
Molecule: long non-coding RNA, 1161 nt
Organism: Mastomys coucha (southern multimammate mouse)
Lineage: Eukaryota; Metazoa; Chordata; Mammalia; Rodentia; Muridae
Exons: 2
Source: RefSeq, a predicted model, not a curated record